This 699-nucleotide ribosomal RNA is filed under the name uncultured bacterium. RNAcentral's name for it is "bacterial SSU rRNA". It matches the Rfam family "Bacterial small subunit ribosomal RNA", at positions 8 to 740 of the family's 1533-position model. The record is from RNAcentral.
AGAGUUUGAUCCUGGCUCAGAACGAACGCUGGCGGCAGGCCUAACACAUGCAAGUCGAACGCCCCUAAUUCUUCGGAAGGACGGGGAGUGGCAGACGGGUGAGUAACGCGUGGGAACCUACCUAGUGGUACGGAACAACACAGAGAAAUUUGUGCUAAUACCGAAUACGCCCCUUCGGGGGGAAAGAUUUAUCGCCAUUGGAUGGGCCCGCGUUUGAUUAGCUAGUUGGUGAGGUAACGGCUCACCAAGGCGACGAUCAAUAGCUGGUCUGAGAGGAUGAUCAGCCACACUGGGACUGAGACACGGCCCAGACUCCUACGGGAGGCAGCAGUGGGGAAUAUUGGACAAUGGGCGCAAGCCUGAUCCAGCCAUGCCGCGUGAGUGAUGAAGGCCCUAGGGUUGUAAAGCUCUUUCAACGGUGAAGAUAAUGACGGUAACCGUAGAAGAAGCCCCGGCUAACUUCGUGCCAGCAGCCGCGGUAAUACGAAGGGGGCUAGCGUUGCUCGGAAUAACUGGGCGUAAAGCGCACGUAGGCGGAAUGUUAAGUGAGGGGUGAAAUCCCAGGGCUCAACCCUGGAACUGCCUUUCAUACUGGCAAUCUAGAGAUCGAGAGAGGUGAGUGGAAUUCCGAGUGUAGAGGUGAAAUUCGUAGAUAUUCGGAGGAACACCAGUGGCGAAGGCGGCUCACUGGCUCGAUAC